RNA transcript from Populus euphratica (Euphrates poplar), 1557 nucleotides. It is a transcript of the gene named Hus1-like protein, with no coding region annotated. The record is from RefSeq and is a predicted model, not a curated record. The transcript is spliced from 3 exons. Lineage: Eukaryota; Viridiplantae; Streptophyta; Magnoliopsida; Malpighiales; Salicaceae.
AAUUUUCAAAACUCGACCGUAAGACUAAUAAAUAACAAAACCCUUUCUCACAUCUUUCCUUCCCUCCUCUUCGUGCAUCCGCCGAUGUGGUGAGCGCCUUCUUCACAGAACACACACGCACGCACAAAGAAAAGAAUAUGAAGUUCAAGGCAUUUGUGACUGAGAAUGGCGUAAGUCUGCUGGACAGGAGAUUCCUGCCUGCUUUGGACAAAAUGGGAAAGAUUUGCCAUCUUUUCCUCACCAGAGAGCACGCCUUCUUCCUCCACAACCUCCUUACCACCUCCGACGGCAUCCAAUCCAUUGCUCAGUUCCGCAAACAAGCUCUCUUCGACGACUAUCGUAUUUCCAGCCAGAAUGAAGACCGCAUUGCGUUCGCCUUUGACAUCUCCCUCCUUCUUCGCGCUGUUCGUAGCAGUGUCAGUAUUAUUUCCAGUGAGUCUGGGGGUGCGAAUCGGCUUCAGGUUAAAUUGGUGAAGAAGCUGCCUCCUAAUUCUACUCAGCCAAUGCCUUUUCUUACCUUUGAGACAAAGGGUUAUAAGUCUGCUGUUAUUCAAGACGUUCCCAUUUCCAAGCCCUUGUCUAGGGAUCAACUUCUUCAACUUCAAGCUGCUCUUGACGCUGCCCAAGAUCUUCCUCAGACUCUGGUUCAGGUUCCUGAUUUGAAUCGGCUGCAGAACUUUGUUGAUCGCAUGAAGCAUGUUGGUGAUCUUCUGAAUGUUUCUAUAAGCAAGUACGGGGAUCUUCACCUGCAGAUUUCAACUACCUUGAUCACACUUGGUGCUGAGUUUCGCAAGUUGUUGGUUGUUGGAGAUAAAGCCCAAGCCCCAGAUGAGGACCGAGAUUUAAGUGCGCAGACUCGGUCAGAGAGGGCGAUUUUGAUGGGAGAUGCUCAGAAUGUGCAGGUCAGUGUAAGGCAUUUUUCUAAGAGUCUACAAUGUCACUUGGCCAAGCCGGAUUGUGCUUUCUAUGGGAUUGCCCCUCAGGGUGCUUGUUUGACUGUGAUAUUCCAGUUCUUCAUUCCCGGAACUCGUCAAACUGAUAAAUCUAUCAGUCUGCAUUGUAGGCUUCCUGUGCUUGACCCAGGGUCAAGCUGAAGAAGUUCAUAUUAUGAUCAUAUUCCAUAAAUAGCUCAACGGAUUUGGAUUGCAUUUACUGUGUUAAUAUCUCCCUUCCCUCGCUGGUUUUAAGGAAACAUUGAACAUGGAAGUGACAUGUUAGAAGAAAAUGCUACUUGAAUUGAUGUAAAUGUGAUGAUGCGAAACCCUCAUCAAAAUGUAGCAGCAUUUGGUUCUUGGUGCCUCUACUUAUCCUUUCUCAGUUGAGGGAACAGAUGGGAAUUGAUCUUGAUGACAAGCGGAGUGCUGAUGUACGACAAGUAGUAGCAUGAGUUUGAGAGUAAGAUAAAGCUGUUAGUGGUUGUCGACAAAUUAGGUUUAUAUCUUGGUUGAACCCUUUGUGUAAUUGCAACUGAAUCCUUAUAUAUGUUGUACUGUAAAUGAUCAUUUUCAACAAUCAAAUGAGAUAGUAAAGAUUCUCUCAUCUCUCGUUCUUUUAAAA